AGCUGAGCUAUCCCGACCAUUCUCUGCGUAGUAACCCAUACUCAUUUUCUGAUUUUAGUCGAUGACUGGGGUCUAUGUCAAUUAAAGGGAGGGGUAGAUUACAAAUUUUUACCCAAGUACUUUCUCCAAUCUCUUUGAUUUUAAAUAUGUAHUAUAUAUAUUCUUUGGGAGAAAAAAAAGUCAUUUACAAUCACCUAAAUUUGUCAAAUAAUCAUAAAAAAAGCAAUUUGUACCCGAAAGGUAUAGGGUAGGAUAAAUAUUUUGAAAGUUUACUUGGGGAUAGUGGGGAUAGAGGGACUUGAACCCUCACGAUUUUAAAAGUCAACGGAUUUUCCUCUACUAUAAUUCAUUGUUGUCRGUAUUGACAUGUAAAAGGGGACUCUAUCUUUAUUCUUGUCUGAUUGAUCAGUUCUUGAAAAAAUUUAUCGUACUAUGGAGUGAAUGGUUUUAUCACUAUAUUAUAUAUUUUUUAUUCAAUAUUGAAUGAAUUCACACCAAUUGUUAGAUCUUUGAUAUAGACAAUUAGAUCUAUAGAUYUGGGCCAUUAUUAUUAUUAAUCAUUUGAUAUAGUWUUCAAUAGAUASGUUUAUCCUUGAUCCUUUCUAAUGUUUCAGUGGAAAUAUUCCUUUAUGAGCGCCCCAUUUACUAGAACAGCUUCCAUUGAGUCUCUGUACCUAUCCUUUUUUUUUUGUGAACYUUUCUUUUGAUUGUGGUAAAACAGGAUUUGGCUCAGGAUUGCCCAUUUCUUUAAUUCCGGGGUUUCCCUGAAUUUGAAAGUUAUCACUUAGUAGGUUUCCAUAC
This 801-nucleotide unclassified non-coding RNA is filed under the name Utricularia olivacea. Its description in RNAcentral is "partial contains tRNA-Leu (trnL) gene and trnL-trnF spacer region". Lineage: Eukaryota; Viridiplantae; Streptophyta; Magnoliopsida; Lamiales; Lentibulariaceae. The record is from RNAcentral.